RNAcentral lists this ribosomal RNA (1338 nucleotides) under uncultured bacterium. Its description in RNAcentral is "bacterial SSU rRNA". It matches the Rfam family "Bacterial small subunit ribosomal RNA", at positions 27 to 1381 of the family's 1533-position model. The record is from RNAcentral.
GGAUGAACGUUGGCGGCGUGCCUAAUACAUGCAAGUCGAACGAAGACUGUAGUAAUACUGUCUUAGUGGCGAACGGGUGAGUAACGCGUGGGUGACCUGCCCCGAAGUGUGGGAUAACAGUUCGAAAGGAUUGCUAAUACUGCAUAAUAUCCAAGAGAUUAGACGCUUUUGGGUUAAAGGAGUAAUUCGCUUCGGGAGGGGCCCGCGUCCCAUCAGCUAGUUGGUAAGGUAAUGGCUUACCAAGGCGAUGACGGGUAGGGGACCUGAGAGGGUGGCCCCCCACAAUGGAACUGAAACACGGUCCAUACACCUACGGGUGGCAGCAGUAGGGAAUAUUAGUAAUGGGCGAAAGCCUGAACUAGCAACGCCGCGUGUGCGAAGAAGGCCUUCGGGUUGUAAAGCACUUUUUGAGAGGAUGAGGAAGGACGGUACUCUCAGAAUAAGUCUCGGCUAACUACGUGCCAGCAGCCGCGGUAACACGUAGGAGGCAAACGUUAUCCGGAUUUACUGGGCGUAAAGCGCGUGUAGGUGGUUUGGUAAGUAGGGCGUGAAAGCUCCUGGCUCAACUGGGAGAGGACGUUCUAAACUGCCAAGCUUGAGGAUGGUAGAGGGAGGUGGAAUUCCGGGUGUAGCGGUGGAAUGCGCAGAUAUCCGGAGGAACACCAGUGGCGAAGGCGGCCUCCUGGACCACUCCUGACACUCAGACGCGAAAGCUAGGGUAGCAAACGGGAUUAGAGACCCCGGUAGUCCUAGCCCUAAACGAUGUAGACUUGGCGUCGGUGGUUUAAUCGCCAUCGGUGUCGUAGCUAACGCGUUAAGUCUACCGCCUGGGGACUACGGCCGCAAGGUUAAAACUCAUAGGAAUUGACGGGUCCCCGCACAAGCAGCGGAGCGUGUGGUUUAAUUCGAUGCUACACGAAGAACCUUACCUGGGUUUGACAUAGAGGUAGUAGGGAAGCGAAAGCGGACCGACCCUUCGGGGAGCCUCUACAGGUGUUGCAUGGCUGUCGUCAGCUCGUGUCGUGAGGUGUCGGGUUAAGUCCCAUAACGAGCGCAACCCACGUUGUUAGUUACCAGCAUGUCAAGAUGGGGACUCUAACAAGACUGCCGGUGUAAACCGCGAGGAAGGUGUGGAUGACGUCAAAUCAGCACGGCCCUUACAUCCAGGGCUACACACGUGUUACAACGGCCGGUACAGAGGGUCGCUACUUCGCGAGAAGAUGCCAAUCCUACAAAACCGGUCUCAGUUCGGAUUGGAGUCUGCAACCCGACUCCAUGAAGCUGGAUUCGCUAGUAAUCGCGCAUCAGCCAUGGCGCGGUGAAUACGUUCCCGGGCCU